AAGCCAAAUCCUUAGCCUUAGCCAAAUAAGGAGUUGUUGAUCACAGAGAGCACUCACCGUUGGAAGGGUGAAAGGCGGAAGCCAGCGCCAUCUUUGAGGUGUGGCUACACACAGCUCUCUACACUUAGGCCUUAAAAUUUCAUCUUGGAGUGCUUUUUUUCUUCAACCAACAAUGGAAGAAGACAGAAAGAACGUGGAGGAAUAGAGAAGAAAGAAAGAAAUCAUCAAGAGAGAAUGAUCCUGAGAUACAGAGAUUAAAGUGGAAGUUGCUGUGCAUGAAAGGAAUUUACUACGUAUGAUCUCAGGCAGAACCUCUUAGCACCUGGAAAGACUGUGAGAAAUGGUGACCAAAUUACAAGUGUCUGGUAGUGACCCAGACUUCGGGCAUCUGCAGGGCCCUCAGUGGUAAUAGAGGCUUUGGAAUUCAACACAGACACCCACAGCUGUAUCAAGGCCAUGGACCAAAUCAUGGCCCUUGGCAGCAGCCCAGGCCGGGACAUUACUAUGGCCCUGGAUGCAAAUGGAGAUCAUUAUAGAAACUACAACUGGACACAAUGCAGGUAUCAAUGGAUCAUGGAGAGCUCAGCCCCAACUGAUACAUCUACAACACUGCUCCAAGGAACAUUAAAGAAGAGGGAGCAGAAAGAUUGUUUAAGAGUCAAAGGACCAGGAAGUCUUCUAUGAGAGUGCCUCCUAGAAAUGGCUGGAGGAUAGAGGACACCAGGAGAA
Molecule: non-coding RNA, 729 nt
Organism: Peromyscus maniculatus bairdii (prairie deer mouse)
Lineage: Eukaryota; Metazoa; Chordata; Mammalia; Rodentia; Cricetidae
Source: RefSeq, a predicted model, not a curated record